This 913-nucleotide long non-coding RNA is filed under the name Astyanax mexicanus (Mexican tetra). RNAcentral's name for it is "lncRNA (ENSAMXG00005008526.1)". The record is from RNAcentral. Lineage: Eukaryota; Metazoa; Chordata; Actinopteri; Characiformes; Acestrorhamphidae.
AUGUCUGUAAGGUGCUUAACCCUUCUGCUAAGCCUGUAUCUGUCCUUUCAAAAAGCAUGGACAGACACUUCUCUCGAAGUGACCUCUGGUCUGCAGUACAGCUUUAAAGAUCCAGACUCAGUUACUGUUAUAUGCGAGUAUAAUUGGGAGAAAGGCUGGGAAGUUGCUGUAAAGCUCAAAGCUAACAACAAUGUAGUUUGUGAGACAUCUCAAAAAAGAAGAGACUGGUCUCAAGAAGGCAACCAGACCAAGUUCCACCUGAAAAAUGUUACUUCUGACCAGAAAAAACUCUCCUACACAUGUGAGGUUUUUCGACAUCACCCUCUUCCAAUACUCAAGGGAGAAGGGCAUGCAUUCAGGUUCUUUCCAGAAUCGCACAUUCUUCCCAAUAUUCCGUGUAACAGCACGGAGACUACCAUUGUCAUCCCCCCUCCUGAGAUUCCCUGCCGUCCCAACACUCUCAUCUGGGCCUGGGCUCUGAUCGGUCUGAUGCUCCUUUUGUGUCUCUACAGCCUGAUUAUCACCAUUCUCUACAUUACGCUGAAGAUUAAAUGGUCUCAAGAGUUGAACGACACAUUAACUUAUGUUCCAAUGCAGAAGCAAGUGAGACAGAAGAAUGCAGACAAGAACGCAGAAUACAUGGAUAUGCGUAAAGUGCCCCCAAUGGCAGCAACUGUCAGAGAUAUGAACCACAACUCUCAUCGGCUUCCUGCUGCCUUCAUGUGAUCCAUCUUCAUAUACUAUCAUGUGUAUGUUUACAUCAUGCAGCCUGUGAUGUAUUCACCUCAUCAAGGAGAUUCAGAAGAGCCAGUCACAUCCACACAAGCCUCACUGCUGUAAAGACACAAAAUGAAGAAGUAUAUAUAACACACUUCAGACAUAACUGUCAAUAAAGGCAGGAAUAUAAAUAACA